GAUGAACGCUGGCGGCGUGCCUAAUACAUGCAAGUCGAGCGAACAGACGAGGAGCUUGCUCCUUUGACGUUAGCGGCGGACGGGUGAGUAACACGUAGGUAACCUACCUAUAAGACUGGGAGAACUUCGGGAAACCGGAGCUAAUACCGGAUAAUAUUUCGAACCUCAUGGUUCGAUAGUGAAAGAUGGCUUUGCUAUCACUUAUAGAUGGACCUGCGCCGUAUUAGCUAGUUGGUAAGGUAACGGCUUACCAAGGCAACGAUACGUAGCCGACCUGAGAGGGUGAUCGGCCACAAUGGAACUGAGACACGGCCCAGACUCCUACGGGAGGCAGCAGUAGGGAAUCUUCCGCAAUGGGCGAAAGCCUGACGGAGCAACGCCGCGUGAGUGAUGAAGGUCUUCGGAUCGUAAAACUCUGUUAUUAGGGAAGAACAAACGUGUAAGUAACUGUGCACGUCUUGACGGUACCUAAUCAGAAAGCCACGGCUAACUACGUG
RNAcentral lists this ribosomal RNA (497 nucleotides) under uncultured bacterium. RNAcentral's name for it is "partial 16S ribosomal RNA". It matches the Rfam family "Bacterial small subunit ribosomal RNA", at positions 28 to 507 of the family's 1533-position model. The record is from RNAcentral.